Molecule: ribosomal RNA, 363 nt
Filed under: uncultured bacterium
Lineage: Bacteria
Description: bacterial SSU rRNA
Rfam family: Bacterial small subunit ribosomal RNA
Source: RNAcentral
AGCGAACGCUGGCGGCAGGCCUAACACAUGCAAGUCGAACGGAUCCUUCGGGAUUAGUGGCGGACGGGUGAGUAACACGUGGGAACGUGCCUUUUGGUUCGGAACAACUCAGGGAAACUUGAGCUAAUACCGGAUAAGCCCUUCGGGGAAGGAUUAUCGCCAUUAGAGCGGCCCGCGUCUGAUUAGCUAGUUGGUGAGGUAAAGGCUCACCAAGGCUACGAUCAGUAGCUGGUCUGAGAGGAUGAUCAGCCACAUUGGGACUGAGACACGGCCCAAACUCCUACGGGAGGCAGCAGUGGGGAAUCUUGCGCAAUGGGCGAAAGCCUGACGCAGCCAUGCCGCGUGAAUGAUGAAGGUCUUAGG